AGAGUUUGAUCAUGGCUCAGGACGAACGCUGGCGGCGUGCCUAACACAUGCAAGUCGAACGAGAAGCUAACUUCUGAUUCCUUCGGGAUGAUGAGGUUAGCAGAAAGUGGCGAACGGGUGAGUAACGCGUGGGUAAUCUACCCUGUAAGUGGGGGAUAACCCUCCGAAAGGAGGGCUAAUACCGCAUAAUAUCUUCUCCUCUAAAAGAGGUAAAGAUUAAAGAUGGCCUCUAUACUAUGCUAUCACUUCAGGAUGAGCCUGCGUCCUAUUAGUUAGGUGGUGGGGUAAUGGCCUACCAAGACCACAAUGGGUAGCCGGUCUGAGAGGAUGUACGGCCACACUGGGACUGAGAUACGGCCCAGACUCCUACGGGAGGCAGC
This 380-nucleotide ribosomal RNA is filed under the name uncultured bacterium. Its description in RNAcentral is "bacterial SSU rRNA". It matches the Rfam family "Bacterial small subunit ribosomal RNA", at positions 8 to 352 of the family's 1533-position model. The record is from RNAcentral.